CGUGGGGCGUCCUAUACAUGCAAGUCGAGCGGACAGAAGGGAGCUUGCUCCCGGAUGUUAGCGGCGGACGGGAGAGUAACACGUGGGUAACCUGCCUGUAAGACUGGGAUAACUCCGGGAAACCGGAGCUAAUACCGGAUAGUUCCUUGAACCGCAUGGUUCAAGGAUGAAAGACGGUUUCGGCUGUCACUUACAGAUGGACCCGCGGCGCAUUAGCUAGUUGGUGGGGUAAUGGCUCACCAAGGCGACGAUGCGUAGCCGACCUGAGAGGGUGAUCGGCCACACUGGGACUGAGACACGGCCCAGACUCCUACGGGAGGCAGCAGUAGGGAAUCUUCCGCAAUGGACGAAAGUCUGACGGAGCAACGCCGCGUGAGUGAUGAAGGUUUUCGGAUCGUAAAGCUCUGUUGUUAGGGAAGAACAAGUGCGAGAGUAACUGCUCGCACCUUGACGGUACCUAACCAGAAAGCCACGGCUAACUACGUGCCAGCAGCCGCGGUAAUACGUAGGUGGCAAGCGUUGUCCGGAAUUAUUGGGCGUAAAGGGCUCGCAGGCGGUUUCUUAAGUCUGAUGUGAAAGCCCCCGGCUCAACCGGGGAGGGUCAUUGGAAACUGGGAAACUUGAGUGCAGAAGAGGAGAGUGGAAUUCCACGUGUAGCGGUGAAAUGCGUAGAGAUGUGGAGGAACACCAGUGGCGAAGGCGACUCUCUGGUCUGUAACUGACGCUGAGGAGCGAAAGCGUGGGGAGCGAACAGGAUUAGAUACCCUGGUAGUCCACGCCGUAAACGAUGAGUGCUAAGUGUUAGGGGGUUUCCGCCCCUUAGUGCUGCAGCUAACGCAUUAAGCACUCCGCCUGGGGAGUACGGUCGCAAGACUGAAACUCAAAGGAAUUGACGGGGGCCCGCACAAGCGGUGGAGCAUGUGGUUUAAUUCGAAGCAACGCGAAGAACCUUACCAGGUCUUGACAUCCUCUGACAACCCUAGAGAUAGGGCUUUCCCUUCGGGGACAGAGUGACAGUGGUGCAUGGUUGUCGUCAGCUCGUGUCGUGAGAUGUUGGGUUAAGUCCCGCAACGAGCGCCAACCCCUUGAUCUUAGUUGCCAGCAUUUCAGUUUGGGUCACUCUACGUGACUGCCCGGUUGACAAUCGAAGAGGUGGGAUGACGUUCAAAUUC
This 1172-nucleotide ribosomal RNA is filed under the name Bacillus pumilus. RNAcentral describes it as "bacterial SSU rRNA". It matches the Rfam family "Bacterial small subunit ribosomal RNA", at positions 38 to 1192 of the family's 1533-position model. Lineage: Bacteria; Bacillati; Bacillota; Bacilli; Caryophanales; Bacillaceae. The record is from RNAcentral.